This 68-nucleotide transfer RNA is filed under the name Sternopygus dariensis. RNAcentral's name for it is "tRNA-Ser". The record is from RNAcentral. Lineage: Eukaryota; Metazoa; Chordata; Actinopteri; Gymnotiformes; Sternopygidae.
GAAAGAGGCCAGAAGCAAUAAGAACUGCUAAUUCUUACCCCCCAUGGUUAAAUUCCAUGGCUCUCUCG